This 64-nucleotide transfer RNA is filed under the name Sinacroneuria dabieshana. RNAcentral describes it as "tRNA-Pro". The record is from RNAcentral. Lineage: Eukaryota; Metazoa; Arthropoda; Insecta; Plecoptera; Perlidae.
CAGAGAAUAGUUUAUUUAAAAUAUUAGUUUUGGGGAUUAAUGAUAGGGGUGUCCUUUUCUCUGA